Molecule: long non-coding RNA, 894 nt
Filed under: Marmota monax (woodchuck)
Lineage: Eukaryota; Metazoa; Chordata; Mammalia; Rodentia; Sciuridae
Source: RNAcentral
GUCAUUAUGUAUCCAAUUUCUGCAUUCAUUUCAAUAAAACCCCAAUGAGCUUAUAUUCUAUAUAUCUCAAAUUAAAAAUUCAGACUAGCUUUAGCCUUGUAGAAAGUUUUGAAGGUUGUCUUUUCUUUAUAUUGCCAAAUAAAUAGUUGUAAACCAAUUUUGUUUUAUUGUACUUACAAUACCAAUGAGAAGGUCUCCCCUUUCGGUGUAUGAUUUACUUACUGAUUUUUUUUUUUAAACUUGGUCUUACAGAUUUCCCCAUUUAGUGUGCUUUGUGGUUUCAGAGGUACAGAAUAAUGUUGAUGCUUGAUGAGAUAAAUAAGCCCCAAGAAAAUAUACAUACUCAUUUGGAUCAACCUUAUUUAAUAUGACUCUGUUCAGUGUAUUGGAGUUGGAGUCUUUCCCGAAGGUAAUGCACCAUAGAGUCUUGGCUUCAAUCUCUUACUUCAGGUCUGUAUACACCAGCACAGUAUUCGUUCAUUUGUUCUCCAAAUGUUCAUUGAGUGCUCGUGUACACUAGCCAAGAGUUUGGGUCUACAUGCUUAGAGCAAUGAGCACAGGAGAAAUGGACUGGCUAUACAGGGCUUCACAUCUGGAGGGGAACCCAGGUAGUAAGCAAAUACUUACCUAAAUAAUAAGUAAUCACAGACAGAGUUCAGGCUAUGGAGAUGGGAUGGGGGCUACAAGAUGUGUAACAGGACAAUUCCAUCUGGCCUUGAUGUCAGGGACAACUUCUUUGGGGAAGGGAUAUUUGAGCUGAGAAGUGAAUGCCAAAGUUAAUUAGACCUACAGACUUUGUGAGCAGAAUGUUUCUGAUAGGCUAAGACACCAUGACAGUGUGUCAUUAAGACAUGCAAAUGGAGGUGUCAGAGAAGCAGUCAGAGUUCAGAGGAG